Molecule: long non-coding RNA, 965 nt
Organism: Heterocephalus glaber (naked mole-rat)
Lineage: Eukaryota; Metazoa; Chordata; Mammalia; Rodentia; Bathyergidae
Source: Ensembl
CAGCACCUGAUGCAGGCCCCUGACCUCCUGUCUUAGAGCACUUACUAAAGGAAGGAUCACUGCUGUGACUUCUUUCCCUGUCACUUUGAGAUGUGUGUGUCCACUGAGCACAAUACUACGGUUCCCACCAUGAGAGAAGAGCAGCCGCCAGUCUGUGUCCAAUUUAGUUGUUAACUGAAUUGAACACUGCUGGUGGAGUUCAUGGCAGCUUGACUCCUGGAAACGUCACCAACCAGUCAUGCAUGACCAGCAAAGGGGACAUGACGUGGCACAGUCAGACACGGACCUUCAGUAACUCUCUGACAGUGAGCUUGGUGUGCUCACCUCGUUCUGUGAAGGUGCCUUGAGCAGGGAUCACAAGCUUCCAGGCAGGUGUGAGCUCACUGGCACCCUCCCUGCACUUCAGGGCUCCUCACAUGGAGGCCACCUUUGAUGCUGAUGCCAGCCGCACCCGUGACAUCUCUGUUGUGGACAAGAGAACAGGAAAGGGGAAGAAGACUGCUGUCGCAGAGACAAGGGCCACUUGGACAAGGAAGACAGUGAGCGUGCGGCUGGGGAAGCUGGAAGGCUUGGAGCCAGAGAUGAGGAGUAGAGGAGCAGGCAUCGAGCAGGAAUUGCUUAAGUCAUAUUCAUUCAACACGAAGCCAAUAACGGAAGAUGAGAAACUUCAACGCAAGAGCAGCAAUGAGGAAAAACAGUCAAUUUUCAGAUUUUUACGGAUAAUAUUGUUCUACUACAUGCAACAUAUUGUUCUGACUGUACAAGCGCUAGGACCCAAAUUCCAUCCCCAGUACCAGAAAAACAAAACAAAACAUAUCGUUCUGAAAUACACCUACAUUGUGAAAUGCCACAUCUAGUUAACUAACAUUUGAUUACCUCGUGUGGUUGAUCAUUUGUCAUCUCCUCUCUUGGCAUUCUUCAAGAAUGUAAUAUGAAAUAUUUAAAAAACCAAUAGGAAAUAGGGG